AAUAGGUUGAAGCACACAUGCUCCCUCGGUCGUGUAAUUUGAGUCAGUACUCUCGGUAGCUGAGGUCAAGCCCGAUACAUUGGAAAUGGAACAUAAUGUGCGUUGUGUGGUCUGUUGUCCCUAGGUAUAAUCGUAUAUACAUAUGUAUGUAUACCGAAGAGGCAUAGCAGUAUGGCAGAUGGAUCGAUUUGUAAGGAGCGUCAAGGCGAGCCAGAGAUUCUCAUUCUCAUUCGUCGAAGUAAUAGGGGAAAUUGGAAACGCCACGGGAUAUUGUUUACAAAAUACUUGAAUUCCAUGACUCCGAUUUUAACCCGAUGCCCUAUGAUUUCUCUGACAACCGUGCUCGAUGAAACUACUUUAUCCUUAACACUAGAUUUACGGAACCUGUCAGUUUGGCGGAUAUUGAAUUUUUUAAACGUUAUUUAGUAACAAUUUAACCACUUGCGCUGGGAAGACGUGCCACGCACGUUGAGAUGUUUCUAUCCCGAAAUUCUCAAUGAUGUCAUUCACACAUUGAUAAUCUUGUUGCAUUAUUAGAUUACUUCAAAAUGUAUCACUCUAUACAGAAUGAUCAACAAACAAAGUAAGUGUACAUAUCAGAGUAAAAUAGGUAAAAACAAAAUUCAUCGCAAGAGACUUUGCCAAAUUUCUGAAUUCACUUCCAGUGCAAGUGGUUAAAUUGUUACUAAAUAACGUUUAAAAAAUUCAAAUUCAAUAUCCGAAAAACUUCCGAGUGCAAAGGGUUAAACUAGUGAAAUACUGAUUGAAAUCGGACCUCAAUUCAUUCCCGGCAAGAAAAUCGCACGAACUUUUCUAGGUACCUAAUAUUUUAAAGGAACGAGCAUACUACCAUCACAAAAGGACAUAUUUUGUUUCGAGAAUCUAGACGACCUCGUCACUCGAGCCAACGCACUUGAACGGGCUUGAGUUAUCGAAAUACUUUAACGUACACAUAUGUAUGUAUAUAUUCCGAUUCGGUGAAACCGUUUAAAGUAUCAAAUCAUUCGAAACCACUAAACAGACUGUUAUAUGCAAAAAUUAUGGAAAUAUAUUUUUACAAUAUAAAUGAGAAAGACAUUGGGCUUUCCGUUAAAAAUGAUCAUUUUGUUAUUUAAAAUAUCAGAUGAAUCGAGGAGAUAUAAUUAAAGAAUGUAAACUGAUUUUUACACUAGAACUAUCAAAUGGGUCAAAACAACCAAUUCCUGAUUUCUUCUUUUACAAUUGCUAAAAAGGUGUAACUGCUGCUUUGGGAAUUUAUAAUUUUUUAAAGGAUUAAUAAUUAACCCUUAGCGCUCCAGUUGAUUUUGCAAUCUAUCGACAACUCCAAGGAAUUUGUAUAGAACCCCUGGUGAAAAUUAUAAAAUUAUAUCAUAACGUUUCCUAAAUUGUUUGGUUUCCUUUCUAGGGCGAAAAUUGCAUAUCUAGCAAUUUCAACAAUCUUAGGAUAGUUUUUACAAAUUUGUUUAUUAAAAUAUACUAUGAAUGAUGGCGUAGUGGAGCUUAUAGAGUGCAAAGGGUUAAAGAAGUCGAUUUAGUAAUACCUAAACUACAAUACAAAUCAAUGAAAAUCUUAAUAAAUGCACGAUUAUAGUUUCCACGAAGAAAUAUGAAAAGUCAGUUUAACCAGUUCACUGCGUUUGACGAGUAUACAUGUCAUCUUAAUUCUUUGCACUCGAAAGGCGACUCACAGUCGCCAUCUGGCUCGACAUAACAAAAUUAUGAAGUUUGAUAUUCAAUAUCAAAGUUCAUAUAAUGUAAUUAUAAAUGAAAUAUUGAAAUAGAAUGUUGUUUACGUGUAUUAUUUAUAUUUAUGUUAGUCA
Molecule: long non-coding RNA, 1820 nt
Organism: Nomia melanderi (Alkali bee)
Lineage: Eukaryota; Metazoa; Arthropoda; Insecta; Hymenoptera; Halictidae
Source: RefSeq, a predicted model, not a curated record